This 375-nucleotide ribosomal RNA is filed under the name uncultured organism. RNAcentral describes it as "bacterial SSU rRNA". It matches the Rfam family "Archaeal small subunit ribosomal RNA", at positions 476 to 851 of the family's 1478-position model. The record is from RNAcentral.
CCAGCACCCCGAGUGGUCGGGACGAUUAUUGGGCCUAAAGCAUCCGUAGCCGGUUUUACAAGUCCUCCGUUAAAUCCAACUGCUUAACAGAUGGGCCGCGGAGGAUACUAUAAGACUAGGAGGCAGGAGAGGCAAGCGGUACUCAUUGGGUAGGGGUAAAAUCCGUUGAUCCAUUGAAGACCACCAGUGGCGAAGGCGGCUUGCCAGAAUGCGCUCGACGGUGAGGGAUGAAAGCUGGGGGAGCAAACCGGAUUAGAUACCCGGGUAGUCCCAGCUGUAAACGAUGCAGACUCGGUGAUGGACUAGCUUUAUGCUAGUCCAGUGCCGCAGGGAAGCCGUUAAGUCUGCCGCCUGGGUAGUACGGUCGCAAGACUG